GGUGUAGCUUAGUAGUAAAGCACAUGCUUAGCAUGCACAAAGCCCUGGGUUCGAUCCCCAGUACCA
This 66-nucleotide transfer RNA is filed under the name Marmota monax (woodchuck). Its description in RNAcentral is "tRNA.Ala". It matches the Rfam family "tRNA". Rfam says of the family: Transfer RNA (tRNA) molecules are approximately 80 nucleotides in length. The record is from RNAcentral. Lineage: Eukaryota; Metazoa; Chordata; Mammalia; Rodentia; Sciuridae.